AGGAUUAACGCUGGCGGCGUGCCUAACACAUGCAAGUCGAACGAGGUAGCAAUACCUAGUGGCAGACGGGUGAGUAACGCGUGGUCAACCUACCGUUGAGUGGGGGAUAACUAGCCGAAAGGUUAGCUAAUACCGCAUACGUCUCUGAGGGGCAUCCCUCGGCGAUAAAAGGAGCAAUCCGCUCGAUGACGGGACCGCGUCCCAUUAGCUAGAUGGUGGGGUAACGGCCUACCAUGGCACCGAUGGGUAGCUGGUUUGAGAGAGCGACCAGCCACACUGGGACUGAGAAACGGCCCAGACUCCUACGGGAGGCAGCAGUGAGGAAUUUUCCGCAAUGGGCGCAAGCCUGACGGAGCGACGCCGCGUGUGGGAAGAAGGCCUUCGGGUCGUAAACCACUGUCGAAGGGGACGAUAAUGACGGUACCCUUGGAGGAGCCCGGCUAACGUACGCGCCAGCAGCCGC
This 463-nucleotide ribosomal RNA is filed under the name uncultured bacterium. Its description in RNAcentral is "SSU rRNA". It matches the Rfam family "Bacterial small subunit ribosomal RNA", at positions 26 to 518 of the family's 1533-position model. The record is from RNAcentral.